RNAcentral lists this ribosomal RNA (468 nucleotides) under uncultured bacterium. Its description in RNAcentral is "partial 16S ribosomal RNA". It matches the Rfam family "Bacterial small subunit ribosomal RNA", at positions 28 to 507 of the family's 1533-position model. The record is from RNAcentral.
GACGAACGCUGGCGGCGUGCUUAACACAUGCAAGUCGAACGGAAAGGCCCUGCUUUUGUGGGGUGCUCGAGUGGCGAACGCGUGAGUAACACGUGAGUAACCUGCCCUUUACUUUGGGAUAACUUCAGGUAACUGGUGCUAAUACCGGAUAGCAGCUCCUGCUGCAUGUUGUGGGUUGGAUAGUUUCGGCGGUUGGGUAUGGACUCGCGGCUUAUCAGCUUGUUGGUGGGGUAGUGGCUUACCAAGGCUUUGACGGGUAGCCGGCCUGAGAGGGUGACCGGCCAAAUUGGGACUGAGAUACGGCCCAGACUCCUACGGGAGGCAGCAGUGGGGAAUAUUGCACAAUGGGAGGAAGCCUGAUGCAGCAACGCCGCGUGCGGGAUGACGGCCUUCGGGUUGUAAACCGCUUUCGCCUGUGACGAAGCGUGAGUGACGGUAAUGGGUAAAGAAGCACCGGCUAACUACGUG